CAGGUAGCCAAACAAGUAGCCCUAUAACCCAUGCAAGGCCAGUUUCUGUCCCUGUCCUUGUUCUCUCCUCUUUCCUCCUCAGAAGAAAAGGAGGACUUCCAGGCCCAGAACCUCCAAAAGCAAGGACCACGGAACAGACGUGUUCAUCUGCCAACCUGACCUUCACAAAAAGCUACGACCAAAGUGGACAGGCCCCUACACUGUGAUACUCAGCACACCAGCUGCAGUGAGAGUCCAAAGAUUCCCCAACUGGAUCCAUCGCACCAGGGUCAAGCUCAUCCCCAAGGCUACGUCUUCCUCCAAAACAUUAGCAGCUAAGUGGUCGUCAAGCACAAUUUCUCCUACCAAGCUUAAAUUAACCAAAAAACUUUCUUAAAACCAAAAACCCCCUAGAAAGUGUAAACAUGGAGAAGACUAAUUACCUGCUUCCAGAAAUGGCCUGUAUCUACCCAACCGCUUGCUGUGCCUCACUUCCAAC
Molecule: long non-coding RNA, 478 nt
Filed under: Homo sapiens (human)
Lineage: Eukaryota; Metazoa; Chordata; Mammalia; Primates; Hominidae
Description: HSALNT0054563
Source: RNAcentral